RNAcentral lists this long non-coding RNA (1495 nucleotides) under Populus trichocarpa (black cottonwood). Its description in RNAcentral is "long non-coding RNA (PTRI_LNC004564)". The record is from RNAcentral. Lineage: Eukaryota; Viridiplantae; Streptophyta; Magnoliopsida; Malpighiales; Salicaceae.
AAAAAAAUAAAUACAUGAAACUGGUAUAUAACCAAACAAAAGAAUAAAAUAAAAAUUUAAAGCACAAUUUCCAAACAUAGCCUAAUAUUUAAAUAUAAAAUUGAAGAAAUUAAGAAAGAAAACACAAAACAGCAUUCCCAUUGUUUUGUUAAUUAAUAGUUAAUAAGGGUAGAUAAAACUCUAAUAUAUAAAUUUCACUACCUUCAUACUAUAAACAUCUAUCUCCUUAUGUUAAUUUUUAAUCCCUUUCUGCUUUUUGGCACUAAACAACAUCAAUAAUUAUUCUUGUGAACUUCAACCCAAAACAAUCAUUCUAGCCAAAAUUUUAUCCCUUACCAAACAUUUACCGUUGUAACAUCCUUGAAAUAGCCCUGCUUUUUUUCUUCUUUUUUCUUUUUUAUCAAGUUGGGGAGAAGAAAAUCUUCUGUUUCAAAUAGACUGCUUCAACUUUUAUGUAAGAUCACCGAUCCCAGUUGUACAAAUAUAAAGAGUGAUGAAUGAACAGAAAUCAUCCUUUUCUUUAACUGUUUGCAGAUCUAAGCACCUCAUAAUGACAUAUUUGUAGCAAUUUCUCUAUUGUCAGAGUAAUUUUAAACACAACCAUUCUCCUGAUCCGAAGCAGUAAGGGUUUUUAAAUCAAUUACUAACGGAACUGUUAAAGAUAAAUAAACAAAAUAAUUAAAAAGUGGGUAAUUAAACAAAAUGAUCAUAGAGGUGGUGGAAGAACAAACAAAGCCAAGAAAAGAAAUGAAACCUCCUUGGUUUCAUGUUCCAUAGCAGCUAAAUCUCUACGCGCCGUCACUUUCCACCACCGGCGUCGCGUUCAAAUCCAAAACACCGUUUUCCUCCUCCUCCUCCACCACAGCCGCCACCUCUUCAGCCCCGGAACUCUGGAUCAUAUUCUCCUCCUCGUUAUUUCCACCACCAUCAAUCACUUCCACCACUUUAGCCUCAACUGCAGCCCGCCACCCUUCUCCACUACCCUUUCCAAAGUACUUCGCGGCUUCCUGCAUCCUCCUUAGUAUUGCAAAGAACUCCUCCACCUCCUCCUCAGUCGCCACCGUCACCACCUCGUCCUCAGUCGCCACCGUCACCACCUCCUCCUUUCCCUCCUGUCCCCUCACCUUCUUUUUCCUUCCUUGCUCGCUUUCUUUGUCUCCCCUCCUUCUUUUCUCUUUUCCUCUGUCCAUCUCUCCUUCAGGAACCUUGGAACUUUUAUGCAGACCUUGUAACAUUAUAGAAAGCUCAACCACAGGAUACAAAACUUGUAAAAUAAUAGCGGUGGAGGUAGAUACAUACUUGGAACUGUUUACAUGACAAAACCAUAUGAAUGUAUAUAAUGUGAAUUUAAAAUAUAGUAUGUUUUAAGGAAAUAAUAUAUUUAUAUUCAACUAAUAGUAACCAAGAGAAUAAUUAAAUAAUAAAGUUGAAGACAAUUUCAUUCACAUAAAUCCCGUCCAUUUUAAUAAUUUUCCAAGGUCGUUGAAGACUUGUG